Molecule: ribosomal RNA, 497 nt
Filed under: uncultured bacterium
Lineage: Bacteria
Description: partial 16S ribosomal RNA
Rfam family: Bacterial small subunit ribosomal RNA
Source: RNAcentral
GAUGAACGCUGGCGGCGUGCUUAAUACAUGCAAGUCGAGCGAACAGACGAUGCGCUUGUUCCUCUGACGUUAGCGGAGGACGGGUGAGUAACAUGUGGAUCAUCUCCCUAUCAGACUGGGAUAAUUUCGGGAAACCGGAGCUUACACCGUAUAAUAUACUGAACCACAUGGUUUAAUGGUGACAGACGGCUUUUCGGUCACGUAUAGCUGCAUCCGCGCUGCAUUAGCUGGUAGGUACGGUAAAGGCUUACCACGGCUACGAUGCGUAGCCGACCUGAGAGGGUGAUGGGCCACACUGGAGGUAGGACGGGGACCAAAGUCCUGAGGGAGGGCGCAGUAGCGAAUCUGGCGCAGUGGGCGGAAGCCUUACAAAACAAGGCGGCGUGAGUGAUGGAGGUCUUCGGGUCGUGAAACUCUGUUAUUAGGGAAGAACAAAUGUGUAAGUAGCUAUGCACAUCUUGACGGUACCUGAGCAGGAAGCCACGGCUAACUACGUG